CCUACGGGUGGCAGCAGUGAGGGAUAUUGGUCAAUGGGCGCGAGCCUGAACCAGCCAAGUAGCGUGAAGGAUGACUGCCCUACGGGUUGUAAACUUCUUUUAUAAAGGAAUAAAGUGAGGCACGUGUGCCUUUUUGUAUGUACUUUAUGAAUACGGAUCGGCUAACUCCGUGCCAGCAGCCGCGGUAAUACGGAGGAUCCGAGCGUUAUCCGGAUUUAGUGGGGUUAAAGGGGGCGUAGAUGGGUUGUUAAGUCAGUUGUGAAAAUUUGCGGCUCAACCGUAAAAUUGCAAUUGAUAAUGGCAGCCUUGAGUAAAGUUGAGGUAGGCGGAAUUCGCGGUGUAGCGGUGAAAUGCUUAGAUAUCACGAAGAACUCCGAUGGCGAAGGCAGCCUACUAAACUGCCACUGACAUUGAUGCUCGAAAGUGUGGGUAUCAAACAGGAUUAGAUACCCGGGUAGUC
This 460-nucleotide ribosomal RNA is filed under the name uncultured bacterium. RNAcentral describes it as "partial 16S ribosomal RNA". It matches the Rfam family "Bacterial small subunit ribosomal RNA", at positions 338 to 795 of the family's 1533-position model. The record is from RNAcentral.